UUCCAAACAAUGGAAUUCAUAGAACAAACUCAUGCGAAAUUAAUUAGGGCUUUGGUGGGGGCCCGACAUUCAUGACAUUAUCUUCAAUAUUGUUAACUUGAUAUGUUGAUUUUUGGAUUCUCCUUGAUGACAUAUAUGAAUUUGUUUUAUAUUUAUUGUUGAGAUACCCUUGUUCCCAUAGACGUGUGGAUGCUCGCUAAUCAGGUACGCUCUUUCUACUCUUCAACUCCAGAAUUCUAUGAAUGUGUACGUUAUCAUGAGCCAUGACCAU
Molecule: long non-coding RNA, 271 nt
Filed under: Vitis vinifera (wine grape)
Lineage: Eukaryota; Viridiplantae; Streptophyta; Magnoliopsida; Vitales; Vitaceae
Description: long non-coding RNA (VVIN_LNC000515)
Source: RNAcentral